This 133-nucleotide small RNA is filed under the name Gammaproteobacteria bacterium. RNAcentral's name for it is "RtT sRNA". It matches the Rfam family "RtT RNA". From Rfam's summary of the family: This family represents a bacterial cis-regulatory element known as RtT RNA. The exact function of RtT is unknown although it is thought that it may be involved in changing the cellular response in relation to amino acid starvation. Lineage: Bacteria; Pseudomonadati; Pseudomonadota; Gammaproteobacteria. The record is from RNAcentral.
CGCCGGAUAUGUGUCGGCAGGAUGAGAACCGUGAGUAGGUUCGACGACGAGCGAAAGCGAGUCGAACAGCUGAGCUUGCGAAGCUGGCCCGCAGGGUGAGGACUUAGUCCGAAUAAUCCUGCCGCCCCAGCCA